RNAcentral lists this long non-coding RNA (1439 nucleotides) under Salmo salar (Atlantic salmon). RNAcentral describes it as "lncRNA (ENSSSAG00000110001.1)". Lineage: Eukaryota; Metazoa; Chordata; Actinopteri; Salmoniformes; Salmonidae. The record is from RNAcentral.
GGCUGAUCUGUUCUGGUCUACAGAGGCGGGCAUUAGGAAGUCCAUGAUAGAGGCUGCCAUCACGUCGUCAGGCUCUCAAAGCUGCAUUCUGGUUGGUCAAUCUGAGACCAUGUUAUGUGCAGUGAUCCACCAUCCCUCUGUCCUCUGGUUCCAUAGACGGGAUGGGCAGCCCCUCCCGUGGUUUCUCUGGAGCGUUGUCUUUCAGAAUCAGAAGGGUGCUGACCUACUUCCAACAUGUUGAAGGGGUGGUUACUGCCCACAGCUGGUGUUAUCCAAUAUAUGCGCUCUGUAUCAAACUAAGCAUUGUAUGUGGGCCAAAUCAUUAGCUAAAUCUUGUAAUGAAUGUAGAGAUUGGCCAAGUUCAAGAUACUAGACUAUUUUGUGUAACCCUGGAUUGUACACUGAAAUGGUACAUUUAAAGAUUCAACGGUAGCUGGGGGGGGGUGAGGUCUGAUAACGCUGCUCUGGUUGCUUGAUAAUCAAUUCGUACAGGCCCUAGUUUUAGCAGACCUGGGCUGCAGUCCAAACUACCCCUUCAGUCCUUAUUAAGCAUUGCAUAUGGGACAAUUCAAUUAACUUAACAUGUUAUCAAUUUAGCAAGUUGUGAAAACAUAUUGCUGUAACGGUAGCUAAAAUGGGGAUGUCUGUGAUAAAGCACUGCUUGUCGAGCCACAAAACAAAUACUGUUUUCACACUACUGCCCAGUUAUAUGUUAAAGUGCCACAAAGGACAGGCAAAUUAGUUGGCCCAGAACAGGGAAGUACUGCUGGCCCUUAAAGGAAUACUUCAGUUUUUAUUUUUAUGCGGCCUUUUAUUUACUUCCCCAGAGUCCAAUGUCCUCAUGGAUAUCCAUUUGGUCUGCAUCCAGUUUCAAAGGAAGUAGCCAGCUAUUGCUAAAUAGCAUUAGCAAAAUUAAGAUGUUUUGUGGUAUCUGCUAAUGCUGACUUACAAUUGCACCAGUUGGCUACUUCCUUCAAACUAGAUGCAGAGACAUAAAUGGUAUUGAGGUCAUCUGACUCGGGAAGUAGACAAAAGAGCCUCGUUGUCAAAAGCCUAAAGUAUCCCUUAAAAUGUACUCGUCACCCCUCCCUCUGCUUGCCCUACCUAUAAACUACUGAGUGACGCAGCGGUCUAAGGCGCUGCAUCUCAGUACUGGAGACCUCACUAGACACCCUGGUUUGAUUCUGGGCUGUAUCACAACUGGCCGUGAUUGGAAAUCCCUUAGGGCAUUGCGCAAUUGGCCCAGCGUCGUCCGGGUUUGGCCUGUGUAGGCCGUCAAUGUAAAUAAGAAUUGGUUCUUAACGGACUUGCCUACUACAUUAACAAAAUAUGUAUUUCAAUGUACCCUACAGCUGGUGUCAGCAACAGUAUGGUUGAUCUCCAGUGUGAGGACUGGUGUUUUAGUUUGAAUAUUUUUGUCAAUAAAGUUUUAUACCGUG